This 58-nucleotide ribosomal RNA is filed under the name uncultured Glomeromycotina. Its description in RNAcentral is "partial 28S ribosomal RNA". It matches the Rfam family "Eukaryotic large subunit ribosomal RNA", at positions 1 to 58 of the family's 3401-position model. The record is from RNAcentral. Lineage: Eukaryota; Fungi; Glomeromycota.
UGACCUCAAAUCAGGUAGGAGUACCCGCUGAACUUAAGCAUAUCAAUAAGCGGAGGAA